RNAcentral lists this long non-coding RNA (4871 nucleotides) under Homo sapiens (human). Its description in RNAcentral is "HSALNT0106864". The record is from RNAcentral. Lineage: Eukaryota; Metazoa; Chordata; Mammalia; Primates; Hominidae.
GAUUCUUAGUUAACAUGUCUUCCAUAAUAAAUAGAAGUUGCUAUACUGAUUUUUUUGUUUGUUGGACAUAAAUGUCAAUGAGUACUAGAUGUGUUUUGGACAAAAUGGUAAGAUAGGAAGGCAAGGAUGCCUAAUGAUUGAUUAGUGUAUUAAACACAGCAGAUACAGCCUUGAGGGUAUACAUCUUUUUGUUUGAAAUUAAUACACUUAAACAAAUUAGUGAAUGUAAGUGUAAAUAGGUUCCCAAACUCAUAAUUUUACCCAAAAGAAAUAAAUACUAGUAAGUAAACAGUCAGGCAAGAAUUGAGACACAAAUAAAAUUUUUUUAAAAAAUAGUUUUAUGAAAGAACAUCAGCAAGGAGUGUUAAUGAGUCGUUUUCUACCCUGUUGCCACCUCUUCUAUUUAGCACAGCAAUGACUAAGACAUAUUUAGAAGGAUGGCCUAAAGAAAAAUCAGGACUAAGUAGUUUAGGUAAAAAGAAGAAUUCAUCUACAGAUGGAGAAAAACAAUCUUGCCCUUCUUCACGCCAAGUUCCAACAUGUUUGAAAUUUAGCACUGGAGGGAUUGGGAGAGCUCAAUAAUUAGACUGCGAUUGAAAUGUUCCACUAAAAUAAUGAUUAGAGAGGCAUCCAGGGGCACUUUCUAUCUUCUUCAUUCGACCUCAGCAUGGAGCACAUCAACUCUGUUUCUUAGUUGGACUAUACUACCUUAGAUACAGAACUGAUUUUUAAAAGUAUAUAAAAUUAUUUCAAGUCUAAAAAUCAUAAAGAGUUUAUCUCAGGAUAAAUAAUUUUUAUGAAAGUAUUUUAUCGCCAGUUCAUUUGUAACCUAAUUGCUUUGCUUAAGUAGAUAAAUCCCAAGCAAUGAGUGAAAUAAACUAGUAGACUAGUGGGUUUUUAACCCUCUACCUAUGUCUCUCAAAUGUUUAUAAUUUCUGCUCCACUAAUAGCCCUGACCCUGCUAGGUAACAAUACUCUAGGAAAUUGAAGAUAUGAGUUCAGAGAAAAAAAAUCAUAAAGGAAGAUAGACAUUGUGAAGAAUGGGCAGUAGUGCUAAUGUAAAGAAAGAAAGAAGGCUGCAUGGAUGAGGGAUUACAUUUUCUGUAGGACAGGAAGAAGAGAUCUACAGAUGUAUAGGUAUAAGCUCUAAGUUGGGAUAAGCAAUGAUGUAGAUUACUAAACAAAAUCAGAUCAUGUGUCUUAUCCACUGAGUUCUACCUUAAUGUUUUUGUUUUCAUGGCUAUAUUCUCAAAAUACCUGAAUUUGUUUUUAGAGUCAUAUAUUUCUUUGUCUUUUCUUAAUUGACAGUUUUAUAUAUUUCUUUCAUUUCUUUCUUGAUUACCUUGAGUUUAACAUCAUGUGCUAUAUGGGAUGAAGAAAAAGUAUGAUGUGUUUUCUACCUUUAAAUUGCUUGCAAUCUCUUUAAAGAUGCUGACAGAAGAAAUAGUCACUCACAAUAAAGCACAAGAAAUGAUUGCAUGAUUCAUACUUUAGAGUUAAGAGAAUCUGGGUAUAGGGAACUAUUGGCAUUAAAGGGGAAUACUUCAAGAAGGAAAUGCAGCUUCAAAUAGGCCUUGAAGAAGGCAUUUUAUCUGCCUAAACAAAAGAACCAUCUCUUCACAGACAUUAACUUGGGUGGGAGAUUCACGAAAGAGGGGAAGCCCCACCCAGUCUGUUCCCCUGUCUCCUGCUCUGACCACUUCUCCAGCCACUGCCCCCUUUGUUCUCUCUGCAUCAACCAUGCACCCCCUUUGGUCUUUUGUCAUUGCAGUUCCCACCACCCUGAAUGCUCUUCUUCCCCCAGUUAGCCACAGAUCUUCCUCCCUCACAUCUUUUUGGUUUCUUCUUAAAUAUUAAAUAAGUAUGCAUUAGAGAGGCCUUUCCUGACAAUCUCAUGAAAAUAUAGUAAAUCUCCUCCCUUCUUUCAUAUUUGUCAUGGGAUUUGUUUAUUGUCUGUCUGUCCCCAGUAAAUUGAAAGCUCUAAGGGGGCAGAGAUAUUUUUCUGCUCUGUAAACUGCUAUAAGCCCAGUACCCUGAAGGGUGCCAGGCACAUGUUAGGCAUUCAAUAAAUAUUUGACAAAGGAAGGAAGGAAAGGAGGGAGGGAGGGAAGAAAUUAGUUCAGGUAGACCUUGAAAGCUUCAAGUGUUUCAGUUGCAAAUAUAUUAGAUGUAUCUCAUUAUCUAGUAAGUCAUUUUAAGGUAAACUUACUGAUACAUUUGAAAGUUGUUUGCCCAUGAAUUCUUUGCUAGGUAAUAUUAACAUCUACCCCUGCACUCCCUUAAAUAUUUAUCAGUAGCUUAAACUUUAACAAAAGACAUGGUUUCCUUUGGCAGAGCAGGGACUGUGCUCGUAUCCUAGCUUGUCAAUGGAAAGAAAAAGAAAUACUGCUGAACAAGUGAAAGAUUAUCAUGGCAGCCACAUCCUUAAAUGGGAGCAAUUGGUAGCCUGCUGCUUCUCAGGCUUAAAGAAGUAAAAGAUACUGCCCCAAGCCAUUUUCAGCUGGAAUUGUAAGAGUAUGCACACAAAUACACAAAGUUACCCUGACAUAAGCGUGAAUAAAAUAUAUUAUCUGAUGCUCAGGAACAUUUCCUUCUUCCCUCAAAAUGAAUAAUUUAUUGGUUUUCUACCUGCUGUUUCCAAGCUCACAUUAAUGAUUCAUUGAUUAGUCUCAAAAACAGAUGCUUGUAAUUAAAUCAUAGGUUCUGUAAGAUCAUUAACUGGUUCUCUAAUGGCUGAAAGAAUUAAGGAGAAAUGGGGUAGUUUAAAUUCAUAGAUUCAAGAAGGAUUAUAGGAAGCAUAUUCUGUACAAAUGUGACAUUUGCUGUAUUGUUUUCCUUUCUGAUAGAAAUUUCUCACCUUCUAAAUUUUCAUUUGUAUGGAACUUGUUUUAGUUUUCUUAACAUCAGCAGGUUUAUUAUUUAUUCCACCCACAGAAAUUCUGACUCAGAUGGCUAGUGCAGUGUAGCCUUGUUACUUGUGUUCAGAUUUCUUAUUGCUCUUUGUUUUAUGCCUUAGUUUAUCCUUAUUAGAAUCUCUCCAAAAUAAUUGAUAAUUUAUGUUGGUCAAGUAGCAUUCCAUUAUCUGUGGUAAAAAAUGCUUUAUUAAUUAUACCACAUAGGUUUCAGCAUGUGCAAAGUCUUCUGAAAGUAUCAUAAAUGAUAGUUGUUUGGGAGAUGUGAUAACUUUUAUUUCCAUUAAUGUUUACAUUUCUGCCUCAUUCUCAGCUGAGAUUGUUACUUAUAUUUUUAUCCACUUGAAUCUUGAAGUUAAGGUAAGCUGAAUAUAUCUAAUUGUCUUUCAUACACAUUACUUUGUUCUACAGAAGAAAUUUAUUAAUGGAGUAAGGUGAAUAUGAUAAACUCAAAUCAGAUUUUCUUCUUAUGUCUGCCCCUGAAUCCAAAAUUGGGGGUGCCUGCUAUAAAAUCAAGUAUGUUUAUGAAAACCUUCCCUCUCCUAUAAUUGCUGGAGUAUUCAUUCAGAGCUCUCACUUGCUAUAUAAUUUCUAACCAAACACUUUCCAGGGAAUGUACAACAAGGAAGUACAUGGACAACACUCAAAUUCAAAUGUCCAUAGAUGGUGGAAUUUUACCACUCUUUAGCUUACAAGCUCAAUCAACUGAAACGUUUCAGAAAUGUUUGUGUUUGGGGUUUGGGUUUGAGAUGUGAAACAAAUGACAUCCUUAAACAUGUUAUUGUUAGUCUUCAAGGUACAUAUGUGUACCUUGAUAUAGAACUAUUUAUAGUUACAGUUUGCUAAAAAAUUAUUAUAAUGAAAUUAACUUUGGGAGGUAGAUGUUAAAGUACCAGCUUGUAAAAAGAAUGUUUAAUGCCAAUCAUUUGUAUGUUUAAUACCUGUGUGCUCAAUGUAGUGUCAUCUUUACUAGAUGAUUUACUUCACAAUGUUUUCAUUCCUGUUCCCCAAAUGAAAAUAAGUAGUCUAUUAACUAAUUUACAGCUCUUAGUUUUGGAUACUAUUGCAGAGACACAGGAGCACUUUUAACUCAAACACUAUGGUUUACCAUAGUUUUGCGGUGGUAUGAAAUUGAGUUAGCACUGCAAUGCAAUAUUGAAAAAAUCAGAAUGCAAUAAAGAAAUGUAGAUAUCACCUGUGACUACUUCAUGUACUACCCAGACUCCUCAUUUAUUGUUUGAACCCAAGGGUUAGUUUUUUAUCUUGCCAAAAGGACAUGAUCAGGAAGUCAGUGUGAUACCGUCUUGCUGCAGUGCAGAAGUUUUAAGAAGCAAGAUACUUUUUAAUGAUGUACUAUCACAGGAUAGAAGUUAUGCCCUACAUGAAACUACGUAUUCGCAGAAACUUUGUGUCGUCAAUGUGCAUCUGUUCUUACUAGUCUGGAGGGAAACAAAUAAGAUUUCCAGUUUUCUGCUGAUCCAACACCAUUUCCCAUAGGCAGCACAAUACACCAGCACACAGUUAGCAGCACUUUGGGACAAAACUGUUGAAAGGAAAGAAACAGUGAUUAUUCUGAAAACAUGUAAAGCAACACUGAUCAUAAGUAAUUUUUGUUAGGUGGGACAAUACUAUAUAAUAUGAUUUCUUGUGUCUAAAUUUUCUCUAAAAGAUUAUUUGGGCUGGGUCCAGAAGGCUCCAAUUUCCCUAAGCAACCUUGAUCAUCAAUGUUGUCAUGCUUCAGCUUUUGGCAGUUUUGAUUCAUUACCAAUUAUUAAUAUCAUUAUUUAAAUAUGAAUAUUGUCCCUUCCCAUUAUGAAAAGCUAUUACAAACAUAUAUGGAUUUAUAUAAAGGUUGAUGACUAUAUGCUUUUUUAUAUUAGAAAAUCAUGUGAAAACAAAAUUAAUCUGAUGAAUGCUGUUAAUUAUUUUAACUUUUUUAUUAGGUAUAAAAUGUUCAUA